Molecule: long non-coding RNA, 1118 nt
Organism: Musa acuminata AAA Group (dessert banana)
Lineage: Eukaryota; Viridiplantae; Streptophyta; Magnoliopsida; Zingiberales; Musaceae
Exons: 2
Source: RefSeq, a predicted model, not a curated record
CUCGAGGCUAGGGUUUUUGUCAAAUUAUAGUUUUGCCCUUUACAAAUAUCAUAAUUCCAAUUUAUGUCCAUUAUUAUAAAUUUCGUACCCUUUUCGAUAAGCAGGCUAUUAUAAGGCCCAUUAGGCAUGGGGAUCGGAAACCCCACCCGGUUAUAAAACCCUAAAGGAUCGACCUCGUUCGCAGCCGCAGUUAGGUUGUGAUCGGGGAUCGCAUCGUGGGCCUCUGCGGCUGGUUUGGUUUCCCAUUAAUCUUCGAUGGUUUGGAUCUUGAUCUUUGGAUUCUGGCAUUCUUUUCUGUUCCCUGGAAGGAUCUGGUUUUGGAUAGAAAAAUGGUAGUCGGGGCCCUCGUAGUCGUUAUUUAGCCUUCUGUGUUCUUCUUUUUGCCAAUUCCUGCUUGUGAUACUGACAAGCUUCGACGAUCGUCAAAAGCAGAGAGUAGAAGAAAAUAGAAGGGGAGGGGCACGGUUUCUCCCGAUCUUAUGUUCUUACCUUGGGUGUUAAGCUAGCUUUUUUAUUUGUGCAUUUAGUUUUUCUUAGUGAUUUUAGAUUUUCUUUUGCGGGUUCUUUUGGAGAAAAUAAGGAUAUUAUUUUGAUUUCUUUUCUUGUUGUUUUCAGGUUUUGGAGAAAAUAAGGAUAUUAUAUUAGGCAAUCUUGAAAGGUUUGGCAGACAAUCUAAAUGUGCUAAUUUCGAUGGCUUAGAUUGAAAAGCCAAUUGGUAACCUAAGUAACAAUGUUUUCGGAAUUAGCAUGAAGACGAAAGCAUCAUCGAAUCAAAACAAGAUUAAAGAGAAGGAAAAAUCAAAGUAUAAUCAAAUGAGGAAGGGCCCGAAACUGAUCCAAAUAAGAAAGGCAGCAGCGGCAGACGGCUUUUUAUGGCUCGAGGAAGCGCAUAUGGUGUAGAGGGAAGGGAACCCAACGAUCGAGUGAUGCGUGUAGUAGGGUUUCCAUCUCGCUCUCAGAAAUGGAUCGGGUGUCUGUGUUGGGUUUCCAUUUAGCUCUUAGAAAUGGAUCGGAUGCACGUGCCAUUUCGAGGCUCUCGGCCUCGACAACCACCACUGAUCUUUCUUUAAAUAUUAAAGUCUCCCUUCGCUAAUAAAUUGUUCGUUUGUCUCCUCUUA